Molecule: long non-coding RNA, 2776 nt
Filed under: Mus musculus (house mouse)
Lineage: Eukaryota; Metazoa; Chordata; Mammalia; Rodentia; Muridae
Description: long non-coding RNA chr15:100093451-100096227
Source: RNAcentral
UUUUCUUGAUCUUUUUUGUUUGACUUUGUUUUGUUAUGUUGAUUUUAAAAGGUUUAUUUUAUUUUAUGCAUGUGUGUGUGUGUAAACGCAUGUGCACUGUAUACAAGUAGGACUCCUCAGAGGUCAGAGGUCAGAUCCUCUGGAACUGGAGUUACAGAUAGCUGUAAGCAUCACUAUGGGCUCUGGGAUGCAAACUCAGGUCCUAUACUAAAGAGUAAGUGCUUUCAAUUCUCCCUCCAGCCCCCAAUGCUUUGUUUGAAGAGACAAGAUCUCACUAAGUAGUUCUCGCUGUUCUGGAGCUCCAUAUGUAGACCAGGUUAGCCUUGAAGCUUCUGCAGUAUCUGUGCUCUGUAUAGACCAGGUUAGCCUUGAAGUUGCUGCAGUACCUGCGCCUCCAUGUCCUGAGUCCCCCGAAUACAAGCAUGUGUGAGUACCGUGUGUACACAUUCCCGUGGAGUUGGAAAGAGGGUAUCAGAUCCCCUGGAGUGAGGCAGUUGUGGUUCAUUUGGCUGUUUAGGCCAAACUUAGAUCUUAGCGGAGCUUUCUUUAGUUUUAGAAAGUUAAGUCACUGUGUGAAAUGGUAUAUAUAUUACCUUGUAAAGAUGGAGACUGAUAUAACAUAGUCGACCUAAUGCUGUUUAUAACAUUCAGAGCUCACCAGUAUUUGUCAGCCUGGAAAGUCAUUAAAAUAUUAACAAGAUACAUUUCCUUCUUUCCUUCCUUCCUUCCUUCCUUCCUUCCUUCCUUCCUUCCUUCCUUCCUUCCUUCCUUCCCUGCCUGCCUGCCUGCCUGCCUGCCUGCCUGCCUGCCUUCCUUCCUUCCUUCCUUCCUUCCUUUCUUUCUUUCUUUCUUUCUUUCCUUCUUUCUUUCUUUCGACAGGGUUUCUCUGUGUAGCCCUGGAUGUCCCGGAACUCACUUUGUAGACCAGGCUGGCCUCGAACUCAGAAAUCCACCUGCCUCUGCCUCCUGAGUGCUGGGAUUAAAGGUGUGCACCACCAUGCCCGGCCUUUUUUUUUUUUUUCUUUUUUCUUUUUAUUCGAUAUUUUCUUUAUUUACAUUUGAAAUGUUUUCUCCUUUCCACGUCUCCUUUUCAAAAACCCUCUAUCCAACCCCCCCACACGUCCUGCCUCUGUUAGGGUGCUCUCCUACCCACCCACCCAUUCCUGUCUUCCUGCUUUGGCAUUCUCCUACACUGGGGCAUCAAACACCCUCAGGCCCAAAGAACCACUCUCCCACUGAUGUCCAACAAGGCCAUCCUCUGCCACAUAUGUGGCCAGAGCCAUGGGUCUCUCCAUGUGUACUCCUCUUUGGUUGGUGGUCCAGUCCCCAGGAGCUGGGGGGAUGUGUGUGUCUGGCUGGUUGACACUGUUGCUCCUCCCACUGGGCUGCAAAACCUCUCAGCUCCUCAGUCCCUUCUCUAACUACUCCAUCGGGAACCCUGUGCUCAGUCGAAUGGCUGGCUGCAAGCAUCUGCCUUUGUAUUUGUCUGACAGCCAUAUCAGGCUCCUCUCAGUAAAGCACUUCCCUGGCAUUCACAAUAGCAUCCAGGUUUGGUGAUUGUAUAUGGGAUGGAUCCCCAGUUGGGGCAGUCUCUGGAGGGCCUUUCCUUCAGUCUCUGCUCCACAUUUUGUCUCCAUAUAUCCUCCUAUGAGUAUUUUGUUUCCCCUUCUAAGAAGCACUGAAGCAUCCACACUUUUGUCUUCCUUCUUUUUGGGCUUCAUAUGGUCUAUGAAUUGAAUCUUGGAUAUUCGGAGCUUUUAGGCUAAUAUCCACUUAUCAGUGAGUGCGUACUGUGUGUGUUCUUUAGUGACUGAGUUACCUCACUCAGCAUGAUUAUUUUCAAGUUCCAUCCAAGACAUAUUUUCAAAGUUUGAGCCUAUCCAAAAAUAUGUUUAAUACCUGAGAAAGUGGGCUUCCCACAGCUUUCUGGGUGUUCUGUAUCAGCUUAGAUAUGUCUUAGUUCCUUCUUCUGUUGCUGUGAUAAAAUACCUCACAAGAGCAACUUAUGGAACAAAAGGUUUCCUGGGCUCAAGUUCCUUGUGGGAAAGUCAAGGCAACAGGCAUUUGAGAUCACUGAGCACACAGCACCAGCAGUCGGGGAGCAGAGAGUGGUGACCACACAGCAUGGGCUGUUGGGAAGUGGAGAGACGUGAAUGUUCUUGCUCAGUUCCCUCUUUAUGUACAUCAGGACUCAGGCCUGGAGAAUGUUACCAAUCUUUACGUGGGGUCUUCCCACUUCCACUAACCUAGUCAAGAUGGUCCCUUGCAGGCAUGUCCACACAUACACACAUGUACAUACAAACACAAAGUAAGUGACUUUGAUUUUAUCAUUAAUUGAAUUAGCCCUGUAGGUUUCACACAGAACAGGGGAGCGAAGGAGGUUUUGUAGUUCUGCCUUUGGUGAGAGAAAAGCAGGCAGACUCUGGUAUUGUAGGUGCUCUAGGGUUAUGUGCACUGGUGAAUCUGGUUCUAAUGGGAGAGUUAACUGCUUGAUCAACUGAAUGCUUUUGUGAGACAUCAAAGAUGUGCUCAGUGUGUUCAUUGGAGAGACCACUGCUGUGUAUAUCUCAGUCAAGUACAGUUUUAUUUAUUCACUUAUUUGUUUAUUUAUUCAUUGUUUUGAUGCAGGGGCAUAACUGUGUAGCCCUGGCUGUUCUGGAACUCUGUAGACCAGGCUGGCCUCAAACUCACUCAAACUCACAGAGCUGCCUGCCUCUGCCUCCUGAGUGCUGGGCUUAAAGGUAUGGCACCACUGCCCAACUGGCUCAUUUACUUC